RNAcentral lists this ribosomal RNA (803 nucleotides) under uncultured Verrucomicrobiota bacterium. RNAcentral's name for it is "bacterial SSU rRNA". It matches the Rfam family "Bacterial small subunit ribosomal RNA", at positions 58 to 839 of the family's 1533-position model. Lineage: Bacteria; Pseudomonadati; Verrucomicrobiota. The record is from RNAcentral.
CAAGUCGAACGGGACUUUCUUUGGUAGCAAUACCGGAGAAAGUUUAGUGGCGAACGGGUGCGUAACACGUGGGCAAUCUGCCGAGAAGUGGGGAAUAGCUCGCCGAAAGGCGAAUUAAUACCGCAUGUGAUCAGGGAAGACAUCUUUCCGACAUCAAAGCCGGGGCAACCUGGCGCUUCUUGAUGAACCCGCGGCCUAUCAGCUAGUUGGUGAGGUAACGGCUCACCAAGGCUAUGACGGGUAGCUGGUCUGAGAGGACGACCAGCCACACUGGAACUGAGACACGGUCCAGACACCUACGGGUGGCAGCAGUCGAGAAUUUUUCUCAAUGGGGGAAACCCUGAAGGAGCGACGCCGCGUGGAGGAUGAAGGCUUUCGGGUUGUAAACUCCUGUCAUUUGAGAACAAGGUGCACAUGUUAACUGUAUGUGCAUUGAUAGUAUCAGAAGAGGAAGAGACGGCUAACUCUGUGCCAGCAGCCGCGGUAAUACAGAGGUCUCAAGCGUUGUUCGGAUUCAUUGGGCGUAAAGGGUGCGUAGGUGGCGCGCUAAGUCAGGUGUGAAAUUUCGGAGCUUAACUCCGAAACUGCAUUUGAUACUGGCGUGCUUGAGGACUGGAGAGGGGACUGGAAUUCAUGGUGUAGCAGUGAAAUGCGUAGAGAUCAUGAGGAAGACCAGUGGCGAAGGCGGGUCUCUGGACAGUUCCUGACACUGAGGCACGAAGGCCAGGGGAGCAAACGGGAUUAGAUACCCCGGUAGUCCUGGCAGUAAACGGUGCACGUUUGGUGUGGGAGGAUUCGACCCC